CUACCUGCAAACUUAUGCUGGGGAAGAAAAAUCAAGUGGAGUUUUUUAAGGAGCAAACUGAGAUAAUAAGAGCAUCACUUAUUUAAAAAGAUUAUGCAGGUUUUUCCAGCAUAACCAGGAUGACACUUGCACUUGUUUGGCCCGAUACAUUCACCAUGUUUGCAUCGUGGUUGGCACACAGCUGUGAAAAGAAGAUGGCAUGCAUUAUUUCUAGGUCAACGAAACACCAAUCAUAUAGCACUGAUGUCGUGCACUAGUUUAAUAAUAAAAGAAAAAAUACCAGAACUUACAACAAAGUAGCCAAAGUAUACAAAAUCAGUUUCCUAUAAACACUCUGUAAGCUACACACACACACAUGUGUUAUGUAUGUAUAUGUGUGUAUCAGUUGGGGCUGAAAAAAAUUUUAAAUUCAAGGACAAUACUCAAAUAGACAAAUAAAACUAGGUAAAACUAUG
RNAcentral lists this non-coding RNA (455 nucleotides) under Pan troglodytes (chimpanzee). The record is from RNAcentral. Lineage: Eukaryota; Metazoa; Chordata; Mammalia; Primates; Hominidae.